This 642-nucleotide long non-coding RNA is filed under the name Macaca fascicularis (crab-eating macaque). Its description in RNAcentral is "lncRNA (ENSMFAG00000051921.1)". The record is from RNAcentral. Lineage: Eukaryota; Metazoa; Chordata; Mammalia; Primates; Cercopithecidae.
GGAACCAUCAUAUUGCUUUUCACAGUGGCUGCAUCAUUUUAUAUUCCCACCAGCAAUGCACAAGGAUCUCCAUUUCUCCACAUCUUUCUCAACACUUGCUGUUUCUGUGAUCAUAGCCAUUUUAAUAGAGUUGUCAACACUGAAAACUUUGUAGCUUCUAAAGAAAGUUACUGAUCAGUGAAGCAAAGAACAAGUCAAGAAUCAAGUACGGUUUGCCCUUCAAAAACCAAUGACUGACAACAAUAAAGCUACAAGUGAUUUAUUAUCUUCUUGAGGUGCAUACAUUUAUUUUGCUCAAGUUUCUCUCUCCGUAAUAGGAACUAAAAGGUAUGGGGACAUCUAGAUGGAGUUGUUGAUUUGCAGUGGAUGUGUGUGCUGAAGGGUCUUGGCUGGAGCCAGUUCCAUGCAAGAUCAAGCCAUAAGCAAACCAAAAUUCUGAGGAGCAAAAGCUAUGAGGACACAGAAGGCCUUCACCGGAUGCCAGUGUCACACUCUUGAACUUUCACACCUCCAGAACCAUGAGAGAACAAGAAUGUCCUUUCCAGAUGCCAGACCCUUGAUCUUGGACUUCCCAACCUCCCAAACUGUUAUAAAUCCCUGUCCUUUAUAAAUUAGCCAGUGUUCGAUAUUUCCUUCUUGUAG